CUUUCCCGUGGGAAUUUGGGGAUAGACCUCCCUCCUGAGAAGGUGUUCUUGUUCCAGAAAGCAGCCCUUUACAAGUGUAACAUGGCUGGUAAGCCUGCAGUGGUUACUCGUGUAGUGGACAGUAUGACUGGCAACCUGAGACCAACUCGUGCAGAAGCUACUGAUGUUGCCAACGCUGUGUUGGAUGGAAGUGAUGCAAUUCU
This 203-nucleotide unclassified non-coding RNA is filed under the name Hevea brasiliensis (rubber tree). The record is from RNAcentral. Lineage: Eukaryota; Viridiplantae; Streptophyta; Magnoliopsida; Malpighiales; Euphorbiaceae.